Long non-coding RNA from Hevea brasiliensis (rubber tree), 554 nucleotides. RefSeq lists it as uncharacterized. The record is from RefSeq and is a predicted model, not a curated record. The transcript has 2 exons. NCBI's taxonomy places the organism in Eukaryota, Viridiplantae, Streptophyta, Magnoliopsida, Malpighiales, Euphorbiaceae.
AAAUACAAGAUAGCAGAGGAUGCCUUUUCACUUCUGUGAUCAUUUGCAGCCAAUGGUAACAGAAACAGAAGUUGAUACUAGGAAAACCUAUGGGUUUUUCACCAACUUCAUGUCAUCAUGAUACUAGGAAAACCUCUCACUUAAUGGGAUCCAGCGAUUAUUUGUGUAUGAAUCUAUGCCUAAUAAGAGCCUAGAAGAUCAUUUAUUUAGCAAAGGUUUGCCCACUUGGCCUUGGAAAAUGAGAUUAGAGGUUAUGCUUGGUGCAGCUGAAGGAUUAGCUUACUUACAUGGGGGAAUGGAAGUCCAUGUAUUAUUUUCUUUGAUUCAGUUGAUUUGAAUUAAUGACUUCAUCUCUUAUCAAUGUGUUAAGUUAAAAUGUGUGAUGAUCAAAGAAUAUAGAGUUUUUUUUUUUAAUUGUGGCUAUGCUAAAAUGAGUAUGUGUAGGUAUUUGCUAAUGGCUACUGGAUACAUGUUCUUGUAAAUGUCUCGUGUAAAAAAUAUUGUUUUAUCUGAUUAUUGCUAUGAAUCCUUCAAUACAUCCACCCCUUGGUUCA